RNAcentral lists this ribosomal RNA (253 nucleotides) under uncultured bacterium. RNAcentral's name for it is "partial 16S ribosomal RNA". It matches the Rfam family "Bacterial small subunit ribosomal RNA", at positions 524 to 776 of the family's 1533-position model. The record is from RNAcentral.
UACGGGGGGGGCAAGCGUUGUUCGGAAUUACUGGGCGUAAAGGGCUCGUAGGCGGCCAACUAAGUCGGACGUGAAAUCCCUCGGCUUAACCGGGGAACUGCGUCCGAUACUGGAUGGCUUGAGUUCGGGAGAGGGAUGCGGAAUUCCAGGUGUAGCGGUGAAAUGCGUAGAUAUCUGGAGGAACACCGGUGGCGAAGUCGGCAUCCUGGACCGACACUGACGCUGAGGAGCGAAAGCCAGGGGAGCAAACGGG